Molecule: long non-coding RNA, 6079 nt
Filed under: Marmota monax (woodchuck)
Lineage: Eukaryota; Metazoa; Chordata; Mammalia; Rodentia; Sciuridae
Source: RNAcentral
GAGGCGGGGCUUCCUGUAGUUCACGGGGUCGACCUGUCGCUCAGACCCCCGAACCUACUUUCCCCUAGGCCGGCAGCAGGAUGGCUGAGGAGGAGGUCCAGGGCCGCCUGUGGCUGGAGAGCCCCGCUGGGGGAGCUCCUCCCAUCUUCCUGCCUUCGAACCGGCAGGCUCUGGUCCUGGGCCGGGGUCCCCUCACCCGUGUUACGGACCGGAAGUGCUCCAGAAACCAAGGUGGGGACGGGCUUGAGCGGGAAGGGGUGUGGCCUGCUCUAGAGGCGGGAAUGAGAUCCUAAAGAAUGAUGCACCGAGGGACGCUCGGCUACUAGGCACAAUUGCGUGGUGCGUCCAGCCCAGGGGUCGAUUGGUGCCUUCUGGGGAGCGCAGAAGGAGAGGUUGUACCUGACCUUGGGGAAGAGGGUGUGGUGCCAACCCCGGGAGAAUUGUCAGUGGGCACAGGAGGCUGCUCUCGGGCCAUUUGAAGGUUUAAAACUGGCCACCACCUUUGUGAAGAGAGGUGAUCCUACAGAGAAAAGUAAAAGCCGGGUGGACGUGGACGGUAACAGGGCAAGCCCAGGGCCUGCGUCAAGCCUCACUUAUUAUUAUUUAUAUGAAAGUGUCUGCCCUGUUCAUAGGCAAGGACCAUGCCACGCGCAGUCCUAGGGACUCUCGCAGUGGGAUCCAAUCCCAUUGAGAAAUAAACUGUCUCUUACUCUCUCCGGAAUGGAUGCUGUAGCUCCAUUCUGUGGCCUGAAACUGGCCACCGCUCCCCAGUAUGAGGGGGCCCUUCACACAAGGAUGUGAUCCUGACCCCACCCCCUCAUCCCCUAGUGGAGCUGGUUGCAGACCCUGAGACCCGGACAGUGGCUGUGAAACAGGUACCAGUGCUUCAGCAAGGGGCAGCAGUGUCUGGGGGUAGGGUCUGGAGGGGAAUUGCAAACUGGCAGGGGGUAGACCCAUUAGAAAACUGGCCAGAAGAAGGGGGUGUGCUGGUGAAAAAGAGUUGUCGGCUUUAUUUGGGUAUCCAUCUGUCCCCUUUCAACUGGGCAAGACUGGAAGCCUAUAAGGGUCUGAUUGGUAGGUGGACUAAAUCACCCUGUGGUAUUGGGGGGGGGGAGGUUCUCACAGUGGGUGGAGCUGGUCCCAGCCCCUCCCUCUUUCUCUGCAGCUGGGCGUUAACCCUUCAACUGCUGGAACCCAGCAGUUGAAACCAGGGUUGGAGGGCUCUCUGGGGGUGGGGGACACACUAUAUUUGGUCAAUGGCCUCCACCCACUGACCCUGCGCUGGAAAGAGACCCAUACAUCAGGAUCCCAGCCAGAUACUCCGCCUGGCACCUCUCCAGUAGCUUCAGAUGAAGAGCAGGAGAAGGAUGCUAAGCAGCAGAAAAAGCGCUUAAGGAAGUCAUCCCCUGGCUGGGAGAGCUUGGAGAAGCUGCUAGUGUUCACAGCACCUGGGGUGAAGCCUCGGGGCAAGGUGAGGCUGCUGGAGGUUCUGCCCUAGGCCGGGCAUUCAGUCUGAACUUCAAAUGUGAUCCUAGGCAAGGCUGUCAGCCUCUUAGCCUUGGGGGAAGUGUGGGUUGGUCCCUGCUGCCCCUUGGUAGACACCCAGGAAUCAGCAGGAUGACCAGGAACAGGUCAGCAGGGGCUCUUCAGACUGCACUUAGAUGUGGUCAAGGCCAUGCUGAGUCUACAUCUCACCUCUGAAAUGAUGACUUCCCAAAAAGUAUGUGGCCUUGGUCCCUGACAGGCAGUGGGCACCCCAAAAAAGCUUUGCUCUGGUUUUAUUUCCCCUGUAGUUAUUAAUCUCCAAGGUGUAAAAGCCCAGGGGAGGAGAUCGGGUAAGAAACUAAUUCUCAUUUUGAUACUAGAAAUGCAGAGGUGGGGUGGACACAGGAGUGACAGGACAGUAGGAUUUCAGGUGAUGUGUCUGUGCCUCAUCCCUGUUGGGUCAUAUCUACAGAAAACCAUCUCCCUGCAUCAAAGUGUUAUUGUGACUCAUCCUGUGAGUGAAGAGACAGGUGUCUCAAUGCUGCCCCUCCUCUGUUCUUGGUGACACCAGGUAGCUGCCUUUGAUUUGGAUGGGACCCUCAUCACCACCCGCUCUGGGAAGGUGUUUCCCACUGGCCCCAGUGACUGGAGGUGAGGAGGGGCAAGGGAAGGGAGUGAGUGGAGCUGGUUGACCCCUCCAGGCCCCAGGUCACUUGUCCACUUCCGACCCAUUCUAGGGUCUUGUACCUAGAGAUUCCACGCAAGCUGAAGGAGUUGGAAGCAGAAGGCUACAAGGUCUGUGCCUAUGUGAGCAAGCGCGACAGGGUCUCUGAUGAGGAGGCCCUGGUGACAUUGUCUGCUCCCUAGCUGGUGAUCUUCACCAACCAGAUGGGCAUUGGACGAGGGAAACUGCCAGCAGAGGAGUUCAAGGCCAAGGUGGAGGCUGUGGUAGAGAAGCUGGGGGUUCCCUUUCAGGUAUGACUAGAAUGGAGGCUAGGGCCAGGGUAGGGUAACAAAGACCCUUGGGUGGGAGACAAACCCAGAGAGAGUCCCUGGGAUGUAUGGGACAGAGGCCUCUGCUGGGGUCAAGCCAUGAGCAGUUGUCAUGAGCUGUAUAUCCCAGAGCAUGGGCAGCUCUCUGGGGCUUGGUACCCAGCUCUUUGGGGCUUGGAAGAGCUGAGGAUGGUGUGUGACCCCUGCCCCACUUCAGGUGCUGGUGGCUACACAUGCAGGCCUGUAUCGGAAGCCGGUGACUGGCAUGUGGGACCAUCUGCAGGAGCAGGUGAGCUGUACCUCCUCUUCCCCUUGCUCUAGCCCCUGUUUCUUAGGGCUUGUUCUUUCUCUCCUCCCUUAGUCCUUGUCAUGUGGUUUAGCUGUCAGGUCCUAGGUGCUGGUAUAUGAGGUCAGUACCAUUAAGCUGAAGUCAGAGGUUGCAUCAGGAGCAGAGACAGGAGGGUAAGUUUGAGUCAGCCUGGGCAACUUAGGGAGACCCUGUCUCAAACUAUAAAAUAAGCCGGGCACAGUGUCGCAUGAAUGAAAUCCCAGCGGCUCAGGAGGCUGAGGCUGAGUUCAAAGGCAGCUGAUCAAACUCACUGAUCAGGAGUUCAAAGCUGGCCUCAGCAAAGGUGAAGCACUAAGCAACUCAGUGAGACCCUGUCUCUAAAUAAAAUACAAAAUAGGGCUGGGGAUGUGGCUCAGCUGUAGAGCACCUGCCUAGCAUGUCUGAGUCACUGGGUUCCAUCCCUAGUACCACCAAAAAAAAAAAAAAAUCAGUGGUUGAGAUUGUUAAUUCAUUCAACCAAUGGUUUGUUCUGAGCUGAAAAUCCUGGUAAAUAAUAGUGGCAUGCCUGCUGUAGCAGUACUCGUAGACCGCUGAUGGCAGCCAGCUAUAAAUGCACACAUGAGUAUAAAAUAGGAAGUAGGGUGUGAUUUUCCUACGGUAGACAGGGGGACGUCUCUAAGAAGGUGACAAAUUGAGUAAAAGUCUAAGGGAGGUGAGGGAAGAAGCCACAUGGAUAUCUGCAGAAGUGGUCCUGGCCAGAGUGACAGCUGGUGUGAAGGCCCCGAGCCUUGCGUGUUCACCAGUGCGGAUGCCCACCUGGUGGACCCAGGUGAGUGAGAGGGUGGGGCCUCGCCUUGGGGCCACGGGAGCAGAGUAGGAACGCGUGUGGGGUCUAAGUGGGGAUGGGAGCCUGGAAGCCUAUCCGCUCUGGCCUGAGUCUAGGCAGUGAAGCGUGAGAAGCGCUGCAAUGGUGAGGACUUGAGAGGUUUGAGAUCUGGCCUGAUGCAGGGAACAGACCAAGAGGAGCUGCCCCAGGGAGCCCUUUACUGCAGAGGGACAGUUGUUAGGAGUAGGUUCUAUUUGUCUCUCCAGGCCAACGAGGGCGUGCCCAUCUCUAUGGGGGACAGCAUCUUCGUGGGAGGUAAGGGCUUGGGGCUGCUGCGGGUGGGCCAAGACCCUUCUCUCCAAACCUGCUGGCAGUGAAGGGUAUCCUCGUGCGUUCCAGAUGCAGCAGGCCGCCCAGCCAACUGGGCCCCUGGCCGUAAGAAGAAAGACUUUUCCUGCGCUGACCGAUUGGUGAGCAGGUGACCGAUUGGGGAUCGGUCACCAAUGGUGAGCCCCGCACCCCGCCCUCGAUCUCUGCCUCACCUCUGCCUUUGCCCCAGUUUGCGCUCAACCUUGGCCUGCCCUUCGCCACCCCGGAGGAGUUCUUCCUUAAGCAGCCCACAGCAGCCUUUGUCCUCCCAGCAUUUGACCCGGUGAGGCCCGAGGGGUGGAAGGCAGGGAACAAGCAGGGGAAUGAGGGUCUCAACUUCUUGUUCCACCCCUCCUAGAGGACUGUCUCCUGCUCAGGGCCUCUCUGCCUCCCAGAGUCCAGCUCCCUCCUGAGCUCUGACCCAGAGGUGGUUGUCGCCGUGGGAUUCCCUGGGGGUGAGAUAUCCUGAUCCCCAUCUCUGGGUGCUGUAAGUGUCCUUCUGGGUCCUGGGUAUCCACUGAUAGUGAUUUUGUGCCUCUCAGCUGGGAAGUCCACCUUCCUCAAGAAACAUCUCGUGUCAGCUGGGUACGUCCACGUGAACAGGGUAAGAGGCUGCCGCGCCCCAUCCCACUGGUUCAUUCCCUGGCUGCCCCAACCGGGCCUUCAGGGCUGCCGCCCAGCACCCCUGCCUCCCCCUGCAGUUCUGAUUUGUUGCCCUGCCCCCACCAGGACACCCCUUCAUCUUCUAUUCCCUAUUGGGCAAUUCCUGCUUGUGACCUGCUCUCCUCUGUCCCCAGGAUACAAUAGGCUCCUGGCAGCGCUGUGUGAGCACCUGUGAGGCAGCUCUGAAGCAGAGGAAACGCGUGGUGAUCGACAACACAAAUCCAGACAUCCCAACCAGGGCCAGGUACUUGGCCCCAUGGGAGGUCUCUAGUAGGGCUGGCAAGGGCCUGGUGACAGCGCUUUCCUGGCCUCAACAGGUAUGUCCAGUGUGCCAGGGAUGCAGGUGUUCCCUGCCGUUGUUUCCUCUUCACUGCCACAUUGGAGCAGGCUCGCCACAACAACCGGGUGAGCCCCUGCCCUCCCCCUCCCUCCUGCCCUGCCCUGCCCCUCCCUCCCCGAUGGCCUCACUCUGAACCAUCCCCUAACAGUUCCGGGAGAUGACUGGCUCCUCUCACACACCAGUGUCAGAUGUCGUCAUAUUCGGCUACAGGUACCUCUAGUUAGUAGGCUGUGGGCUGGUAGGGCCUGGCCUCUCCUUACCACCUUCUCUGCCACCAGGAAACAGUUCGAAGCUCCUACGGUGGCGGAAGGCUUCUCUGCAAUCCUGGAGAUCCCAUUCCAGCUGCAGCUAGAGCCGCAACUAGAGCGACUCUACCGGCAGUUCUCUGAGGGCUGAGUUGCCCAGCCCCAUGCUCCCCUCCCUGACCUGGCAAUAAAUGCUAUUUUUCUCCAAGCUUGGCCAGCAUUUUGCUGGGAGGAAGGGUGGUCGUCUUGGAGGUGCGUCACCAGGCCUAGGCCAACCCCACGCCCCCACACACACACGCGCGCGCGCGCACACUUUUCUACAUUUUCAGGUUAACAGAAAAGGAGGGACCUGGACUGGCUCAGGCUGCUCCUCUGCACAUCUCAUGUUCUACACCAAACCACUCCACCCACCUUGGGCUGUGGAAAGGUGUCACUAGGAGGUUGUCAUGAGCAGGUCAAACAAGAGACUGAGAUGAGACAUGGGAAUGUAGGACAUUGAAUGGGCCCCUAUAAGCUAGCCAGAGCUUGGCUCAAGAUGGCCCAUGAGGGCACAGUGAUUGCAAGCUUGCCUAAUCAUGUGUGAGGCCCUGCAUUCAACUCCCAGUACUGCAUGAGGACAAAAUAUCCAGGGCUCAGGUUCUAUUGCAUUGGACUUGAACGCAGGGGAUGUGGGUCUUGGACCUGCCUAUGGAUCCCCCCUCCAGCUACAGGAGGCAAAAACGCCCCUGACCUAUGCUUUCUUACAGGUAAGUCCAGGGGAAAGAAACCAUGAGCACUACCUGCAAGGUCCUGGCACCAGGUACUGGAAACAGAGAACCAACACACGGCUUCAUGCUUCUGACACAAAGGCCCCAGGAGGUGAGGCCACC